AACGAACGCUGGCGGCAUGCCUAACACAUGCAAGUCGAACGGGAUCCUAGCUUGCUAGGUGAGAGUGGCGGACGGGUGAGUAACACGUGGGAAUCUGCCUUUUGGUUCGGGAUAACCGCGGGAAACUGCGGCUAAUACCGAAUGCCCUCGAGAGAGGAAAGAUUUAUCGCCAGAAGAGGAGCCCGCGUCCGAUUAGGUAGUUGGUGGGGUAAAGGCCUACCAAGCCGACGAUCGGUAGCUGGUCUGAGAGGAUGAUCAGCCACACUGGGACUGAGAUACGGCCCAGACUCCUACGGGAGGCAGCAGUGGGGAAUAUUGGACAAUGGGGGCAACCCUGAUCCAGCAAUGCCGCGUGAGUGAUGAAGGCCUUAGGGUUGU
Molecule: ribosomal RNA, 378 nt
Filed under: uncultured bacterium
Lineage: Bacteria
Description: bacterial SSU rRNA
Rfam family: Bacterial small subunit ribosomal RNA
Source: RNAcentral